This 434-nucleotide ribosomal RNA is filed under the name uncultured bacterium. RNAcentral describes it as "partial 16S ribosomal RNA". It matches the Rfam family "Bacterial small subunit ribosomal RNA", at positions 29 to 507 of the family's 1533-position model. The record is from RNAcentral.
AGCGAACGCUGGCGGCAGGCCUAACACAUGCAAGUCGAACGAACCUUUCGGGGUUAGUGGCGGACGGGUGAGUAACACGUGGGAACGUGCCUUUAGGUUCGGAAUAACUCAGGGAAACUUGUGCUAAUACCGAAUGUGCCCUUCGGGGGAAAGAUUAAUCGCCUUUAGAGCGGCCCGCGUCUGAUUAGCUAGUUGGUUGAGGUAAUGGCUCACCCAGGCGACGAUCAGUAGCUGGUCUGAGAGGAUGAUCAGCCACAUUGGGACUGAGACACGGCCCAAACUCCUACGGGAGGGAGGAGUGGGGAAUCUUGCGCAAUGGGCGAAAGCAUGACGCAGCCAUGCCGGGUGAACGAUGAAGGUCUUAGGAUUGUAAAAUUCUUUCACCGGGGACGAUAAUGACGGUACCCGGAGAAGAAGCCCCGGCUAACUUCGUG